This 496-nucleotide ribosomal RNA is filed under the name uncultured bacterium. RNAcentral describes it as "partial 16S ribosomal RNA". It matches the Rfam family "Bacterial small subunit ribosomal RNA", at positions 28 to 506 of the family's 1533-position model. The record is from RNAcentral.
GAUGAACGCUGGCGGCGUGCCUAAUACAUGCAAGUCGAGCGAACAGACGAGGAGCUUGCUCCUCUGACGUUAGCGGCGGACGGGUGAGUAACACGUGGAUAACCUACCUAUAAGACUGGGAUAACUUCGGGAAACCGGAGCUAAUACCGGAUAACAUGUUGAACCGCAUGGUUCAACAGUGAAAGACGGUCUUGCUGUCACUUAUAGAUGGAUCCGCGCCGCAUUAGCUAGUUGGUAAGGUAACGGCUUACCAAGGCAACGAUGCGUAGCCGACCUGAGAGGGUGAUCGGCCACACUGGACCUGAGACACGGUCCAGCCUCCUACGGGAGGCAGCAGUAGGGAAUCUUCCGCAAUGGGCGAAAGCCUGACGGAGCAACGCCGCGUGAGUGAUGAAGGUCUUCGGAUCGUAAAACUCUGUUAUUAGGGAAGAACAAAUGUGUAAGUAACUAUGCACGUCUUGACGGUACCUAAUCAGAAAGCCACGGCUAACUACGU